Molecule: transfer RNA, 76 nt
Filed under: Staphylococcus aureus H54403
Lineage: Bacteria; Bacillati; Bacillota; Bacilli; Caryophanales; Staphylococcaceae
Description: tRNA-Thr
Rfam family: tRNA
About the family: Transfer RNA (tRNA) molecules are approximately 80 nucleotides in length.
Source: RNAcentral
UCCACAGUAGCUCAGUGGUAGAGCUAUCGGCUGGUAAACCAAUCGGUCGUAGGUUCGAGUCCUACCUGUGGAGCCA